GCAGAAGCAGGGCGUGAUCGAGGGUGCGAACCGAGAGAGCAGAAGAGAUGGGGCGGGUGAUGGAGAAGCUGAAGAUAUUCGUCGUGAAGGAGCCCGUCGUCGCCGCCUCUUGCCUCAUCGCUGGCGUCGGUGGUAGCUGGUGUGACUGGCAAGAGAAGAGACUAACCUGCAUCUUAUUAGUGUUCCUCGUGCUUUUAAUUCCUCUCUUUAUAUUCUCCUUCUACUUUUAGGCUUUUCAAGAUAGUGUGAUGUCUUUGGUUUUCUAUGUUCAGAAUGAUGUGGCUAAACUUAGACCACAUUUCUACUUUUGUUGACCACUACUAUGGGCAUUGAACAUAGCAAGUUCAGAAUUGUUCUGGAUCAGUUCAAAUAAGAAAAAUAUUUGGAAGAUA
Musa acuminata AAA Group (dessert banana) is the source of this 392-nucleotide long non-coding RNA. RefSeq lists it as uncharacterized. The transcript has 2 exons. The record is from RefSeq and is a predicted model, not a curated record. Lineage: Eukaryota; Viridiplantae; Streptophyta; Magnoliopsida; Zingiberales; Musaceae.